AUUCUUUGUGGUAACGCACGCUGCCACUGCCACCCAGGCACUCUGCUCGGAGAACAAAGAAGGGGUCUAAGGGUUGGCCGUACAGGGACUAGGGCGCGCGACGAGGCCGCCGCUCGUACCGCAAGCGGCCUGCCCUGGGGCGACAGUAGAGGGAGGAGUUCUACGAUGGCGACGAGAACGAGGAGUGGAAGAGGAGGCGACGCCGCGGGGGCCGCCGCCGCAGUGGGAGGCGGCACGUGUUGUUGUUGACCCGGCACGAGCAGACAUGGAGGGCGAAGACCAAAUUAAUAUCUGUAUACCGGUUGUGCGACAGAAACAUGUCCUGACAAUUCUCUAAUCCUUAUGGACUGCUCUCCUAUUAUGAAUACAACCGACUACUAUACCGAACAUUAGGAGCCUUGUUAAUAGGACGGGUUCACAAGUUGUUACUCUUGGUGGUCGAAUUAGAAAUACCACUGUUACAACUCCAACUAAUGGCUCCAAUACUCCAAUGUCAACUUUUGAAAAACGCUCAAAACUGACCUUCUGUACUCUCGCGACAUGGUUCUAGUUUCGCAGAGAAUUCACUACUUCCUUCGGUAUAAGAAAACAUGUACUGACCUGUACCACCCCUACUUAAAAACUUCAAGGUUCUAUUGCUUCUUGAAGUCUCGGUACUAAAUCGUCUACGUCAUUUCGUUUACUUCCUCUUCGUAUCUAAAUUUCUCAACAACUAUUACCAUCUAUGGACGGUCCGACGAUGAGAAAAAAGUGUCGAAGUUAGUGGACCACAAAACCGCUAACCAUCGUCGUACUUCCCCCUUUUGAGAAUGAGAGUGGUAGAGCUGAGUCUAUAACCACAAAGACAACACCUAUCUAAAUGGAAGGUAUGUGAACGAAAGAAACUCUUCGACUUGUACAUAUCGUUACGAAGUAACUUGUCAGAAAAGUUGAGUAUGCUGGGAAGAUACGACGACAGAUGACGUAUAAUAGCUUACCUAGAAAUGUUCGCACGUAAUUUGCUCCAGGGUCACUGUUUAAAGAAACCUAGUCAGUACUUCUGAUAGGUGUGACUAAGUCGGAUGUGUCCGAAAGAUCGACGUGUACUACGCCUUGAGGGGGAAAGACAUCCUUUAUUAUAUGAACUAGUACAGUACAAUGUCUUACUCCGAUCACGUUCUUCUAGCUUGUAUCUUCUCUACUUACUCCGUGUUAAUUACAGGGUACCUACCUGUCUCCAGGACGAUCUCGUCGACCUUCCGUUUUUAAGACUACAACAACACUACAUACCAGACCCUUGAUACCCGUAUAACGACCGUUAAAGUUGGACCGAUAGUUACAUCCUUGAGACUUACACGAGAAUUGUGUAGUAGAAGAACGUCUUUUUGAAUCAGUAUGAUUGAAAGUGUCCUACCCUGGUUCUUCUUACUUUUAUUCUCUCUAUGAAACCUCCAGUUGCAAGACAUAAAGGAAAAAAUGGAUUAGUAUCGUAGGUAAGUCAAACCUUGUUUAACAACAUACAUCAAAAGCGUACCAUGGGAGAUGGAAAACCUAUGCAUCGAGCUAUACAAAGUAAAAAUACGUAGACACGAGGACGUAGUGUAUAACAUGGACAGUCUAAUAAAGUAACGAUGAACUUUUAUAAAGGUACAUCGUAUCUUAGACCUCAAACUACUGGAGCCGAUCUAGACCUAUACUUAUACAUGAGGUUUGAAUUUUACAACUCACAAGAAAAUCAGGUUCUAUUGUGUGAAGUAAGUCAGACCUUACAAGUCGUGAACCGUCCAGCAGAAAAUAAACCUGAUCUAUAUAAUGUUAUAAAUGAGGUAAAUGAUGGAUGUUAAAAGUCAAAAUUUUUUUGAGGUAAUGGGGGGAUACGUCAGGUAACGUAGAAUAUUGCUGAAAACGGAACUACGGAUGAAUGCACGAUAAUCUCCAAUGAAUUCCGGUUUGCACAUAUAGACAUACUUCUAAAAAAAAACUAUUAUAUACUAAUUAAAAUAGAAACAUACGUAACGAGACAUACACUUCACAGCGAUAACAAAAGUAAUGACCGUAUUAUGUUGGCUUUCCACACCGAAAAUACGAGUUCAUGUCUUGAUUAUUCGACCAGUACCCGGAGUAUCCUGCCAUAGGUGUCUUCGACACGUGGGUCAUCUUGGCACCUGUACGACGAUUCCGUUUACUUUACUCGUAUCUAAUACAAGGUAAUCCCUCGUAACGUGUGGACGUACACGUGUCACCAUAUAUACGGUGAUCAACCGUACGGUAACUCUUUAAUG
This 2261-nucleotide ribosomal RNA is filed under the name Triticum aestivum (bread wheat). RNAcentral's name for it is "partial small subunit ribosomal RNA". The record is from RNAcentral. Lineage: Eukaryota; Viridiplantae; Streptophyta; Magnoliopsida; Poales; Poaceae.